UGGCGGCACUAGCGCGGUGGUCCCACCUGACCCAUGCCGAACUCAGAAGUGAAACGCCGUAGCGCCGAUGGUAGUGUGGGGUCUCCCCAUGCGAGAGUAGGAACUGCCAGGCA
This 113-nucleotide ribosomal RNA is filed under the name Salmonella enterica subsp. enterica. The record is from RNAcentral. Lineage: Bacteria; Pseudomonadati; Pseudomonadota; Gammaproteobacteria; Enterobacterales; Enterobacteriaceae.